Molecule: ribosomal RNA, 468 nt
Filed under: uncultured bacterium
Lineage: Bacteria
Description: partial 16S ribosomal RNA
Rfam family: Bacterial small subunit ribosomal RNA
Source: RNAcentral
GACGAACGCUGGCGGCGUGCUUAACACAUGCAAGUCGAACGGAAUGGCCCUGCUUUUGUGGGGUGGUCGAGUGGCGAACGGGUGAGUAACACGAGAGUAACCUGCCCUUGACUCUGGGAUAACUUCAGGAAACUGGGGCUAAUACCGGAUCGGAGCUCCUGCUGCAUGGUGGGGAAUGGAAAGUUUCGGAGGUUGGGGAUGGACUCGCGGCUUAUCAGCUUGUUGGUGGGGUAGUGGCUUACCAAGGGUUAGACGGGUAGCCGGCCUGAGAGGGUGACCGGCCACAUUGGGACCGGGGUAACGCUCAGAACACCACCGGGGGGAGGCGUGGAGAAUAUUGCAACAAGGGGGGAAGGCUGGAGCAGCAACCGCGGGGGGGGGGUAGCGGCUCUCCGGUUGUUAACCGGUUUCUAUAGGGACGAAGCGUGAGUGACGGUACUGGAUGAAGAAGCCCCGGCUAACUACGUG